Molecule: long non-coding RNA, 1376 nt
Filed under: Homo sapiens (human)
Lineage: Eukaryota; Metazoa; Chordata; Mammalia; Primates; Hominidae
Description: HSALNT0306131
Source: RNAcentral
AUUGCUUUCUUUUGCACAGUUUUAGCUUUAUUAUUUCUUAUAUUAUGCUAUUUAUUCUUUAUUUUUGCUCAACUUCUUAGUUUCUGGCAUUCUGUUCUUUCACUUUAUCUCAUUGGUUUAAUUUCAUAAUUCAAAUUAUUUCCUGGUUAUUUUAACGUUCAUUUUAAGAAAUUGUUAUUGCUUUUAAUUUAAAAAAUGGUCUUUAUAUGGUAUAUGAAAAACAAUUCAAUAUGGAUAGCCCCAAGGACAAAGAGUCUGUACCAUGGAAAGGUGGCCUUGCAGUUUUCUAUCAAACUUCCCAGGAGCAGAAAUUUGCAACCUCCUCUUUGCCGCAACACACCAAAAGGAGCAGAAUCAUUGACUCUUAGUAGUUCUCAGCUGUGAUGCAACAAAGCAUUUCAAAACCUCUAGCUGAAUGCUAAGACAAAGGCUUCUCAUUGUGUGAAAGCUGAAGGAUCUCUCCCUGCAUUCCCUUCAUGGGCAUCUCUAGGCUACUUGGCCUCAUGGAUGCUUCAGGCUCUCCAGUGGCUUCAGAGAUCCCUAGUUUCCAGCAUUCCCCCUCCUGCUGCAUGUCUCAGUCUAACUGGUCAUUGAUAGUGGCAGGAGACAGACAAAUUCCUAGGCCGACAGGGUUGGGUUCCUGGUGAAACCCAGCCUUCAAAUCAAAGACAAUUUAAAGCCUGAAAACCGACCUGCUGAUUCCAGAUAGAGUCUACAACCAGAGACACGGCUUUACCUCCUUCUCCAGAGGAUGCAACAAUAAGGCACCAUCUUGGAAGCAGAAAGCAGCCCUCACCAGACACCAAAUCUGCCAGCACCUUGAUCUUGGAUUUCCCAGACUCCAGAACUAUGUGGUCUUUCAUUUCCUCGGCAGAAUACUCCUGGCAUGAUCUUUAAGGAAUGAAAUGUUGUCUACCAACCUCGGCUGAGUGUACACAGUUCUGGGAAAAGGUGCAUCUUAGACUAAUCUGAUUUAGUAAGUGAAUAUAAAAUGCUCCCCAGGACACCUUGCUAGUAAAGACUCCAACUAAGAUUAGAGUAUGAAUUAAUAGAGCCAAGAAUGGACAUUGGAGUGGGAAUUUACCAACUAGCAAUUUACUUUAAUGAUUAUUUCCUGAUAACUUCUGAAAUAUUUUUAAUGUUUAGAGAAUUUGUUUAGCAACUGAAAGGAAAACUUUCUACUAAAAAAUAUGCCAUGCACAUUUAAAAACAUUCCAAUUGCUCCACUGUCUUUCAUAUCUAUCUCUGUUUGCUAAUAUCUAUAAUGCAAAUUUUAGAAAACACAUCUUGACUCAUCAAUUUAUGAAUUAUUUUACUCCCUAUCAUGAUAUUAGCAGUACAUUUUUUUUCCUUUCCCUUCUAGGCUUGUUUUUCUU